UGCACUUACAAGCUGUGGAAGCACAUUUCUUGUGUGACCGCGUACUUUUUGUAGAACGGGCCAACGAGUUACGUUAAGUAGCAAGGUUAAGCACUUAAGGUGUGGAGCCGUAGCGAAAGCGAGUUUUAACUGAGCGUUCAGUUACUUGACGUAGACCCGAAACCGGGCGACCUACCCAUGAGCAGGAUGAAGCGAAAGUAAAAUUUCGUGGAGGUCCGAACCCACGAGCGUUGAAAAGCUCGGGGAUGACUUGUGGGUAGCGGUGAAAUUCCAAUCGAGCCCGGAGAUAGCUGGUUCUCCCCGAAAUA
RNAcentral lists this ribosomal RNA (308 nucleotides) under Clostridioides difficile. RNAcentral describes it as "partial 23S ribosomal RNA". It matches the Rfam family "Bacterial large subunit ribosomal RNA", at positions 559 to 866 of the family's 2925-position model. Lineage: Bacteria; Bacillati; Bacillota; Clostridia; Peptostreptococcales; Peptostreptococcaceae. The record is from RNAcentral.